This 361-nucleotide unclassified non-coding RNA is filed under the name Hevea brasiliensis (rubber tree). The record is from RNAcentral. Lineage: Eukaryota; Viridiplantae; Streptophyta; Magnoliopsida; Malpighiales; Euphorbiaceae.
AAUUCUCUCUAAUCUCAACAGUUGCUUAAAAUGCUUUUACGCCGCCUUUUGGUUGCUUUUAGAGCCUAGGAGCACGGAUUUUAAAUAAUGGCUGCUACAUAAUAUAAUGGCCAUAAAGUAUAAGUUUUUAAGAGGAGCAUUAUUGUUACCCACAUUAAAUAAUGGCAAAAUCAAAAGUAUUGGUAAUGAUCUUUAUUGGCUGCUAAGUAAUGGGUGAUGGCGUUACUCACAUGUGCACAAUCUUUUUUUAUUUUGUGGGAGUUGAGAGAUAGAGAGUUUGUUUUCUUUUUGGUUUCUACACUUCCCUUUCCUUUUCUCUCAAAUAUUCCAUCUUUUGCAAAUCUUCAUUUCUUGCGCUAAG